Molecule: unclassified non-coding RNA, 305 nt
Filed under: plant metagenome
Description: partial contains 5.8S ribosomal RNA, internal transcribed spacer 2, and large subunit ribosomal RNA
Rfam family: 5.8S ribosomal RNA (bases 1-105)
Source: RNAcentral
GAAAUGCGAUAAGUAGUGUGAAUUGCAGAAUUCAGUGAAUCGUCGAAUCUUUGAACGCACAUUGCGCCCUUUGGUAUUCCAAAGGGCAUGCCUGUUCGAGCGUCAUUUGUACCCUCAAGCUUUGCUUGGUGUUGGGCGUCUUGUCUCCAGUUCGCUGGAGACUCGCCUUAAAGUAAUUGGCAGCCGGCCUACUGGUUUCGGAGCGCAGCACAAGUCGCGCUCUCUUCCAGCCAAGGUCAGCAUCCACAAAGCCUUUUUUCAACUUUUGACCUCGGAUCAGGUAGGGAUACCCGCUGAACUUAAGC